UACGUCGUUGGCAAGCGUUGUCCGGAGUUAUUGCGCGUAAAGCGCGCGCAGGCGGCCUCUUAAGUCUGGUGUGAACGCCCCCGGCUCAACCGGGGAGGGCCAUGGGAAACUGGGAGGCUUGAGUAUAGGAGAGGAGAGUGGAAUUCCACGUGUAGCGGUGAAAUGCGUAGAGAUGUGGAGGAACACCAGUGGCGAAGGCGACUCUUUGGCCUAUAACUGACGCUGAGGCGCGAAAGCGUGGGGAGCAAACAGG
RNAcentral lists this unclassified non-coding RNA (253 nucleotides) under uncultured Caryophanales bacterium. Its description in RNAcentral is "uncultured Bacillales bacterium contains 16S-23S intergenic spacer region". It matches the Rfam family "Bacterial small subunit ribosomal RNA", at positions 524 to 776 of the family's 1533-position model. The record is from RNAcentral. Lineage: Bacteria; Bacillati; Bacillota; Bacilli; Caryophanales.